GGAGAAGUACCCAAGAGGCCGAAGGGGCUCCCCUGCUAAGGGAGUAGGUGCAGUAAUGCACGCGGGUGUUCAAAUCACCUCUUCUCCGCCA
RNAcentral lists this transfer RNA (91 nucleotides) under Clostridia bacterium. RNAcentral describes it as "tRNA-Ser". It matches the Rfam family "tRNA". Rfam says of the family: Transfer RNA (tRNA) molecules are approximately 80 nucleotides in length. Their secondary structure includes four short double-helical elements and three loops (D, anti-codon, and T loops). Lineage: Bacteria; Bacillati; Bacillota; Clostridia. The record is from RNAcentral.